This 771-nucleotide ribosomal RNA is filed under the name uncultured bacterium. RNAcentral describes it as "bacterial SSU rRNA". It matches the Rfam family "Bacterial small subunit ribosomal RNA", at positions 8 to 796 of the family's 1533-position model. The record is from RNAcentral.
AGAGUUUGAUCAUGGCUCAGAAUCAACGCUGGCGGCGUGCCUAACACAUGCAAGUCGAACGCGAAAGUGGAGCAAUCCAUGAGUAAAGUGGCGACCGGGUGAGUAACACGUGACUAACCUACCUUCGAGUGGGGGAUAACCUCGGGAAACCGGGGCUAAUACCGCAUAACAUCUUCGGGAUGCGAAGCCGAAGAUCAAAGGAGCAAUUCGCUGGAAGAGGGGGUCGCGGCUGAUUAGCUAGUUGGCGGGGUAACGGCCCACCAAGGCUUUGAUCGGUAGCCGGCCUGAGAGGGCGCACGGCCACACUGGAACUGAAACACGGUCCAGACUCCUACGGGAGACAGCAGUGGGGAAUUUUGCGCAAUGGGGGAAACCCUGACGCAGCAACGCCGCGUGGAGGAUGAAGCCCCUUGGGGCGUAAACUCCUUUCGACCGGGACGAUUAUGACGGUACCGGUGGAAGAAGCACCGGCUAACUCUGUGCCAGCAGCCGCGGUAAUACAGAGGGUGCGAGCGUUGUUCGGAAUUAUUGGGCGUAAAGGGCGCGUAGGCGGUGCGGUAAGUCACCUGUGAAAACUCUGGGCUCAACUCAGAGCCUGCAGGCGAAACUCCCGUGCUGGAGUGUGGGAGAGGUGCGUGGAAUUCCCGGUGUAGCGGUAAAAUGCGUAGAUAUCGGGAGGAACACCUGUGGCGAAAGCGGCGCACUGGACCACAACUGACGCUGAGGCGCGAAAGCUAGGGGAGCAAACAGGAUUAGAUACCCUAGUAGUCC